RNAcentral lists this microRNA precursor (69 nucleotides) under Nomascus leucogenys (northern white-cheeked gibbon). RNAcentral's name for it is "miRNA (ENSNLEG00000031464.1)". The record is from RNAcentral. Lineage: Eukaryota; Metazoa; Chordata; Mammalia; Primates; Hylobatidae.
ACUCAGAAGACAGUGCCACUUACUGAAAGGUUUUUUUCUCUCAGUAAGUGGCACUCUGUCUUCUGAGUU